RNAcentral lists this ribosomal RNA (598 nucleotides) under Rhodotorula mucilaginosa. RNAcentral describes it as "eukaryotic LSU rRNA". It matches the Rfam family "Eukaryotic large subunit ribosomal RNA", at positions 69 to 664 of the family's 3401-position model. Lineage: Eukaryota; Fungi; Basidiomycota; Microbotryomycetes; Sporidiobolales; Sporidiobolaceae. The record is from RNAcentral.
CAAGGAUUCCCCUAGUAGCGGCGAGCGAAGCGGGAAGAGCUCAAAUUUAUAAUCUGGCACCUUCGGUGUCCGAGUUGUAAUCUCUAGAAAUGUUUUCCGCGUUGGACCGCACACAAGUCUGUUGGAAUACAGCGGCAUAGUGGUGAGACCCCCGUAUAUGGUGCGGACGCCCAGCGCUUUGUGAUACAUUUUCGAAGAGUCGAGUUGUUUGGGAAUGCAGCUCAAAUUGGGUGGUAAAUUCCAUCUAAAGCUAAAUAUUGGCGAGAGACCGAUAGCGAACAAGUACCGUGAGGGAAAGAUGAAAAGCACUUUGGAAAGAGAGUUAACAGUACGUGAAAUUGUUGGAAGGGAAACGCUUGAAGUCAGACUUGCUUGCCGAGCAAUCGGUUUGCAGGCCAGCAUCAGUUUUCCGGGAUGGAUAAUGGUAGAGAGAAGGUAGCAGUUUCGGCUGUGUUAUAGCUCUCUGCUGGAUACAUCUUGGGGGACUGAGGAACGCAGUGUGCCUUUGGCGGGGGUUUCGACCUCUUCACACUUAGGAUGCUGGUGGAAUGGCUUUAAACGACCCGUCUUGAAACACGGACCUCCUGUGUGAAGUGAU